GAUGAACGCUGGCGGCGUGCUUAACACAUGCAAGUCGAACGGAAAGGCUCCUGCUUGCAGGGGUACUCGAGUGGCGAACGGGUGAGUAACACGUGGGUGAUCUGCCCUGCACUUCGGGAUAAGCCUGGGAAACUGGGUCUAAUACCGGAUAGGACGAUGGUUUGGAUGCCAUUGUGGAAAGUUUUUCGGUGUGGGAUGAGCUCGCGGCCUAUCAGCUUGUUGGUGGGGUAAUGGCCUACCAAGGCGUCGACGGGUAGCCGGCCUGAGAGGGUGUACGGCCACAUUGGGACUGAGAUACGGCCCAGACUCCUACGGGAGGCAGCAGUGGGGAAUAUUGCACAAUGGGCGCAAGCCUGAUGCAGCGACGCCGCGUGGGGGAUGACGGCCUUCGGGUUGUAAACUCCUUUCGCUAGGGACGAAGCGCAAGUGACGGUACCUGGAGAAGAGGCACCGGCUAACUACGUG
This 465-nucleotide ribosomal RNA is filed under the name uncultured bacterium. Its description in RNAcentral is "partial 16S ribosomal RNA". It matches the Rfam family "Bacterial small subunit ribosomal RNA", at positions 28 to 507 of the family's 1533-position model. The record is from RNAcentral.